GAUGAACGCUGGCGGCGUGCUUAAUACAUGCAAGUCGAACGGAGAGUUUUGUAGUAAUACGAAGCUUCUCAGUGGCGAACGGGCGAGUAACGAGUUGGUGACCUGCCCCGAAGUGUGGGAUAACAGUCCGAAAGGAUUGCUAAUACCGCAUGUGAUCAUCGGUUUUAGAAUCUGAUGAUUAAAGCAGUAAUGCGCUUCGGGAGGGACCUGCUUCCCAUCAGCUAGUUGGUGAGGUAAUGGCCCACCAAGGCUACGACGGGUAAGGGACCUGAGAGGGUGGUCCCUCGCAAUGGCACUGAAACACGGGCCAUACACCUACGGGAGGCUG
Molecule: ribosomal RNA, 328 nt
Filed under: uncultured Chloroflexota bacterium
Lineage: Bacteria; Bacillati; Chloroflexota
Description: bacterial SSU rRNA
Rfam family: Bacterial small subunit ribosomal RNA
Source: RNAcentral